RNAcentral lists this long non-coding RNA (600 nucleotides) under Callithrix jacchus (white-tufted-ear marmoset). RNAcentral describes it as "lncRNA (ENSCJAG00000080055.1)". The record is from RNAcentral. Lineage: Eukaryota; Metazoa; Chordata; Mammalia; Primates; Cebidae.
AUGGAGGUGCACCGGCUCCACCUCUCCAGGGUCGCUGCCAGACCUGAACGUGUGAGAAGACCGAGAAGGAGGCCCCGGCUCAACGGCCUCCAACCUCUUCCAGUCCUCCUCCCACCGUGGCUUGGGCCUUUUGUACCCGCCCCACGUGACCCCGCCGGCCGGCUCUUCCCUGCUGCCCCGCCCCGCCCAGCUCUUCCCGCUCUCGGCCUCCCCCCUCCCGCGCUGCCGGGUCUCCACCUCCCCUUGCCUCCCGCCCCAGGCUCUUCCCGCUCCCUCCCACAAGCAGCCGUUCCCUCGCGACGCUCCCCUCCCCACGCGGCUGUUCCGCCGCCUCGCCUCCCCUCCCCCCGUCCAGAACUCACUGUCUCCAAGAUGGCGGCCGUGUCAGUUUGGGACAUUUCAGCGGUCCGGCCUGGGGUCUCUCCUUUCUCCCGGCCGAGGAAACAACUCCUGAGACUCACUGCCACCGCCACCAGCGUCAUUCUUCUGGCGAUGCCCCCCGCCUGGCAUUGUGAAACUCCAGCUGGUCUUCCUGAGCCUGCAGGUUCUGAGUGUCUGGAUCCCGUCCCUGACCCUGCCUACUCCCAGGCCUCCCGUUAG